Molecule: small RNA, 403 nt
Filed under: Oryza sativa Japonica Group (Japanese rice)
Lineage: Eukaryota; Viridiplantae; Streptophyta; Magnoliopsida; Poales; Poaceae
Description: sRNA Os10g0483450
Source: RNAcentral
ACACCAAAGCUGUAUGUGUCAACCUUCUCAGAGAGUUGCCCAUGGAUGGCAUAUUCAGGAGCUGUGUAACCCCUGCUUAAGUGAAUAUAAUUAGAAACACGAUAUAUGCCCCUAAAGCAAUAUUUUCAUCUUCGAACUUACAAUGUUCCUGCAAAUUUAGUGCUGAGAUGACUAUGAUCAUCAGGUAGGAGCCUUGCUAAACCGAAAUCAGCAAUCUUUGGCUGAAACUCAUCAUCAAGAAGAACAUUGCUAGAUUUAAUGUCACGGUGUAUGAUGCAGACAUGAAAUUCUUGAUGAAGAUAUCCAAGGCCACGAGCCAUGCCAACGAUGAUGUUAAAUCGUUGCUUCCAAUUAAGCGUACCACGUUUAUCACCUGUUAAGAUAAAACAAGGCCAUUGUCAAA